GCGCAUGUGGCGGAAUUGGUAGACGCGCUAGGUUGAGGGCCUAGUGACUAAAUAUUGUCGUGGAAGUUCGAGUCUUCUCAUGCGCA
Molecule: transfer RNA, 86 nt
Filed under: Bacteroidota bacterium
Lineage: Bacteria; Pseudomonadati; Bacteroidota
Also listed under: 2 other names
Description: tRNA-Leu
Rfam family: tRNA
About the family: Transfer RNA (tRNA) molecules are approximately 80 nucleotides in length.
Source: RNAcentral